GAUGAACGCUGGCGGCGUGCUUAACACAUGCAAGUCGAACGAUGAGGCGCAGCUUUCUGGGUGGUUUCGUGACCAACGGGUGAGUAACACAUAAGUAACCUACCCUUCACUCUGAGAUAGGCCACGGCAACUAGGUCUAAUACCUACUAGGUGCGCCUACCACCCGGUGGGUGUUGGAGAGAUUUAGCGGUUUUGGGUCGACUCGCGGCCUAUCCGCUUGUUGGUGAGGUAUUGGCUCACCAACGCGACGACGGGUAGCCGGCCUGAGAGGGUGACCGGCCACACUGGGACUGAGACACGGCCCAGACGCCUACGGGAGGCAGCAGUGGGGAAUAUGGCACAAUGGGCGCAAGCCUGAUGCAGCGACGCCGCGUGAGGGAUGACGGCCUUCGGGGUGUAAACCUCUUUCAGUAGGGAAGAAGCGAAAGUGACGGUACCUGCAGAAGAAGCACCGGCUAACUACGUG
RNAcentral lists this ribosomal RNA (466 nucleotides) under uncultured bacterium. RNAcentral describes it as "partial 16S ribosomal RNA". It matches the Rfam family "Bacterial small subunit ribosomal RNA", at positions 28 to 507 of the family's 1533-position model. The record is from RNAcentral.